ACUCAAGUAAAGUGAGGCCACAGUGUCGUGAGUAUGUCUGUUCUUCUGGGAGAGAAUUCAUCGGUGAUUUUGUCUAUAUCCGGGAUAACAAUUGGGGCCACGACACUCAUUCUAUAUUACAGAUUAACUAGAAAUGUUAACUCAGAACUGAAUCAGCUAACUUGCUCGGUAAAUAAUUUAAGAGAUGAAAUCAAACGUCUUCAAGAAAAAAUAGACGGAGCAACCGCCAGCGUCGGUGCUACCGGUAGAUCUACAACCGGUGGUUCAAUCCUCCGAGCUAAACAACGUAUUCCGGGCUAUGUUUCUGCGACGAGCUCAGGCGAUGAGGAUGAUGUUUAUGAAGAAGCAUUAGAAGGUGAUGAAGAAUAUGAAACCUCCAGAGAAUAUGAUAGUGGAAGUUUGAGUAGCCAGUCCUUGAAGGGAAAACCAUUGAAAACAUCAACCCAAAAACUAUUUGAAACUGUGGAUAAGUUACUGGAAGGCUCUGAUCAAGAAAAGGAAAAUGCUUACAACCUUCUAGCAGCAAAGAAAGACAUUUUAACAUAUUCACAGAACCCAGACUUCCUUUGGAGGUUGUCAAAGGCAGCAUAUUUCUUAUCACAAAUUGAGAAUGGAAGAGGAAAUGAUGAAAGGAAGAAGAGUCUAGUAUACGAAGCUAGGGAUAGUGCCCAAGAUGCCUUCAGUAUAGAUGAGAAUAAAGCAGAGGCUCAUAAAUGGUAUGCUAUAACAUUGGGCAGCAUAGGAGAAAUUGAAGGAAUGCAAGUUAAGAUUAAAAGUGGUUAUGAGUUUAAGGAUCACAUUGAGAAGGCUAUAGCCAUAAAUCCAAGUGAUCCGUCACUUCACCAUCUCUUGGGCAGGUGGUGCUAUGGGGUCUAUAUGUUAACCUGGAUAGAAAGAAAAGUUGCAUCCACGUUAUUUGCUACUCCACCUACUGCAACCAUUGAUGAAGCUUUGAAGCAUUUCAAGGAGGCUGAGAGAUUGAGCCCAGGCAAAUGGAAAGAAAAUAUGUUAUACUUAGCAAAGAGUUUCAUUGAAAAAAAAGACUACAGCUCGGCAGUACUGUGGUUGGAGAAAGCUGAUGCUCUUGUAGGCUCCAGUCAAGAUGACAAAACUGCCCAAGAAGAGAUUACAAAACUUCUCAAUCAGUAUAGAACAUAUGCCUAAUGAAUGUUUAUUCAAUUACAAGAAAAGACAGAGGAAUGUGUCAACUAGUCCCAAACUCAGACAAAAAUAAGUGAAGGGAUAGUGAUAACUUCAUGGCAUGACUACAAUGAACAAAUGCUAGGAUUAUGUAAUUGUUGAAAUGUUUAAGAAAGAGUAUAUUUUUGGUGAAACUGUGAUAGAAAAGUAAAAUAUUGACUUGACCUUUCACUUCAAAAGUCCCUGUGUUAUGAUGCACAUGUGAGAUGUUCAAGCAUAAUCUCACACACACACACAUACACAUACACAGUGCAACCAGUCAGUAAUUAGCAGUGCAUUGCUAGUCUUGACAGUGUGUGCUCAUUUUGUGUUCUCCCUGACAAAGUAUUGCCUUAGAAGCAGUAGGAUACACUUUGUUCAGGCAUAGGAAUAUCUCGCACCCUGACAUUUCAUAUCACUCCUAUUUCUGAGCAGUAUAUAUCAUACUGAAUGUGACAGAUUCUACCCAGAUUCUUGUAGGAAAUGUUUUAUUCACUGUUAAUAUUUAUUGGAAAAAGAUGUGUUUUGUCUUAAAGGUAUAUGAAUCAAAUGGAUGUGGAUACUAAUGGAUGUGGUUGUCUACUUACAUUUUACUUUUAC
RNAcentral lists this unclassified non-coding RNA (1779 nucleotides) under Lingula anatina. Its description in RNAcentral is "regulator of microtubule dynamics protein 2, transcript variant X2". The record is from RNAcentral. Lineage: Eukaryota; Metazoa; Brachiopoda; Lingulata; Lingulida; Lingulidae.